GGACUUUUGUCGCUGACGAGUGGCGCACGGGUGAGUAACGCGUGGGUUACCUGCCCCUAAGUGGGGAACAACUUGGAGAAAUCCAAGCUAAUACCGCAUAAUACCUUCGGGUUAAAGAGGGGGAUCUUCGGACCUCUCGCUUAUGGAUGGUCCCGCGUCUGAUUACCUAGUUGGUACGGUAAUGGCCUACCAAGGCAAUGAUCAAUAGCUGGUCUGAGAGGAUGAUCAGUCACUCUGGAACUGAGACACUGUCCAGACUCCUACGGGAGGCAGCAGUGGGGAAUUUUGCACAAUGGGCGAAAGCCUGAUGCAGCGACGCCGCGUGCGGGAAGAAGGCCUUCGGGUUGUAAACCGCUUUCAACAGGGAAGAAGGAAUGAGAGCUAAUACCUCUCUGCCUUGACGGUACCUGUACAAGAAGCACCGGCUAAUUUCCUGCCAGCAGCCGCGGUAAUACGAAAGGUGCAAGCGUUGUUCGGAUUUACUGGGCGUAAAGAGAUCGUAGGUGGCUUGUUAAGUCGGAUGUGAAAUCCCGGGGCUCAACCCCGGAACUGCAUCCGAUACUGGCAGGCUUGAGUUUGGGAGGGGUAAGCGGAAUUCCGUGUGUAGCAGUGAAAUGCGUAUAUAUACGGAGGAACACCUGACGCGAAUGCGGCCUACUGGACCAAUACUGACACUGACGAUCGAAAGCGUGGGUAGCACACAGGAUUAGAUACCCUGGUAGUCCACGCCCUAAACGAUGUCAACUAGUCCGUUGCGGGUAUCGACACCUGCAGUGGCGCAGCUAAC
Molecule: ribosomal RNA, 787 nt
Filed under: uncultured bacterium
Lineage: Bacteria
Description: bacterial SSU rRNA
Rfam family: Bacterial small subunit ribosomal RNA
Source: RNAcentral